This 227-nucleotide ribosomal RNA is filed under the name uncultured bacterium. RNAcentral describes it as "partial 16S ribosomal RNA". It matches the Rfam family "Bacterial small subunit ribosomal RNA", at positions 524 to 750 of the family's 1533-position model. The record is from RNAcentral.
UACGUAGGGCGCAAGCGUUGUCCGGAAUUAUUGGGCGUAAAGAGCUCGUAGGCGGUUUGUCGCGUCUGCUGUGAAAACCUAAGGCUCAACCUUGGGCUUGCAGUGGGUACGGGCAGACUAGAGUGCGGUAGGGGUGACUGGAAUUCCUGGUGUAGCGGUGGAAUGCGCAGAUAUCAGGAGGAACACCGAUGGCGAAGGCAGGUCACUGGGCCGCAACUGACGCUGAG